UGGCGAGUGGCUGAUGAGUGGAUGUGCUGCAGGUGAGAACCAGGUGUGCGUAAUGAGCUCAUAAUGUGGGAUGAUCUGAAAUGACAAGAGUAAGAAAACAUGCAGGUAAGAUGAAAAAAAAGUGCGAUCAACUUUGUGACAUAACGACAUACAACCUUACCGAUAUAUAACCUUUGUAGGUAUACAUAUGACAUUUGUAGGUAUAAAGAUAUAUAACCUCUAUAGAUAUACAGAUAUAUAACCUCUGUAGAUUUAAGCAAUAAGUUGCCUUUAUAAUACGGUACCAGCGAAAUUAUAAAUAUUAAGUAAAUAGUUGCCUUUUAGCACAAAAUAGUUGUAGCCACCAAACAUUGUGUAUCUCAUUUCAGUAGUCUACAGAAAAAUACUCCCUGUACGUGCAUGUAAACCGCAUUGGGUUCAUUCGAUGACGUCCACCUUAAUUGUCCGGUUGCAAAAGUUCGCAUUGCCUGAAACUGAUCAUUUGUGGGACUUUUUUCGGUCUUUUUUCUGCGAUCGGCACCGAGCUAAAAGCUAAAAUGUCAAUCAGUCGCGCGAAAGCUAACCUGUUACUUUGAGUGCGCAGUGAUGUGGAACGUUCGGUCAAUGUGAACAGGUACUGUACAUUAUCGCCCAAUUAUAGAGCCCCCAUGACUCACUCUCAACCAAUCAGAACACUGGAUUGCAUCUACCCGUGUUAUAGUAUACAGAUAUAUAACCUCUAUACAUAUAAAGAUAGGAAUAUUUUUUUAUACAAUAUAAUGCUAAAGGGAACAUUGCUGACUGAAAACAUGAAUCCUCAAAAGAACAUGAGCUGUUUUUGUUCUGCAACCAAAAGAAUUACACAUGAAACAAUUAAACCUGUUUCCUUUCAUCUGUGAAUGGUGAGGUCGAAAGGGCCUGGGGUGCGUCUGUUUGUGUGUAUGUAAAAGGGGGGGGGGCGGGGGUGUGUGUGUGCGCGCGGGGUGCGUGCAUGGGUGCGUGUGUGUGUGUGUAUGUGUGCGCGCGGGGUGCAUGCGUGUGUGUGUGCGCGCGGGGUGCGUGCAUGGGUGCGUGUGUGUGUGUGUGUGUGCGUGUGUGUGUGUGCGGGGUGGUGUGUGUGUGUGCGUGUGUGUGUGGGUGCGUGCGGGGUGGUGUGUGUGUGUGCGUGUGUGUGUGGGUGCGUGCAUGGGUGCGUGUGUGUGUGUGCGCGGGGGGUGUGCAUGUGUGUGCGUGUGUGCGUGCGUGUGUGUGCGCGGGGGGUGUGCAUGUGUGUGUGUGUGUGCGUGUGUGCGUGUGCGUGUGCGUGUGUGUGUGUGUGUGUGUGUGUGCGCGGGGUGCGUGUGUGAUUGAGCGAGCUUUAGUAAUAUACAAUUGAAUACCCUGACACCCGAUGGUCUUCAUCCUGAGGGCACAUCCUCCUCUCUCAAGAACGCUCUGUCUUCAUCACAGUCUGGUGAACAUCUUGUUGUUUUUGUCACAGUUUUCAGGACAUCCUGUUGUUGUAAUUACAGUCUUUUUGACAUCAUUUUGUCUUGUUAUGUCUGGCAGGAGGAAGCUGAAAACAGAAGAGUACAUCAUAAUGGUCCUCCUUUGAGUAAAUGUAAUUCAAUCCGGAGAGACUUGUUGAAAUUUGAAUAAUGCUUUAUUAUAACAGGUAUAAUAUGAUAUUGCAAGUUGUUUGGGGCUUGGACUCCAUCCUGCCGCAGAAUAGAGCCGGGGCCGGGAUCUCGAGCCGAGACGAGGCACAUCCCCCCCUUGGGAGUCCAGACACUGGUGGUGGUGGUAGAGCCCACGUUGCAUAAUUCUCCUGCUACGCCAGGUUCUGCUGUAGACUGGAGGUGUCCGGGGUGGUGGCGGGUGACCUUUGCCGGUGGUGGCGGGUCACCUUUGGGGGUGGUGGCGGGUCACCUUUGGCGGUGGUGACGGGUCACCUUUGGGGGUGGUGGCGGGUCACCUUUGGGGGUGGUGGCGGCUUCACCUUUGGGGGUGGUGGCGGGUCACCUUUGGCGGUGGUGACGGGUCACCUUUGGGGGUGGUGGCGGGUCACCUUUGGCGGUGGUGGCGGGUCACCUUUGGGGGUGGUGGCGGGUCACCUUUGGAGCGAGCUGAAAUGACAACUGACGGCACAAGAGAGGAGAACCGUUUUUUCGCCUAAGCUUCAUUUAGUUGCUUUCCCACUCUGUGCUUUACUGCUUUUAGUGACAGGUGUUUGUUAGAGUUUCCAGAUGCUUCUCCAGUACGGAGGUCCAGCUGUAAGAGAAGCAACGCUCUACUUCAUUAAAAAAAGACUCAAAUAAGGAAGAAGGAACAGAAGAGAGUUACCUGUGAAGACUCAGAUGUGACGAGAGAGGAAGAGGACGAUGAUGAGGAAGUCAUCUUCAGUCUCCAGAGUGACUUCAGCAGGAGCUUUCAACUCCUCGGGUGUCCUACAAAAGUGAGAUUAUUGUGACCUUCAGUAUUCACAACUGGAGAUCAAGUUGUCCAUGACAAACGUCUGUGGGUAAGAGCUAUUUAUAUCAUAGAAUCUUCCAACCCUUCAGAAGAACAAAGGAUCUCCUCCUGUUCUGCUUCAAACACAAAUAGAGAACAAAGAUCGGCAAACUUGGAUGUGUAUUCAUAAACACAGCAUUAAAAUAUAUUAACAUCACUUUGUUCUCGCUGUACUUUUCGGAGUCCCUCGGCUCCUUUAAAUCUAGAUUAAAGACUUCUGUUGGAUGCUGCUUUUAAUUUACUGUGUUUAGUAUUUUGGUACUUUUAAACUACACUGCAGAAUUUAUUCUAUUUUUAGUUUUUUAACGUUGUUUUUUGAAUGACUUUUUCUUUCAUGUUUCAAUCAUCGGACCAAGGACUCAUCUCUUUUCUUGUCUUACUGGACCUCAGUGCCACAUUUGACACAAUUGAUCGUUGUAUCCUGUUGCAGAGACUAGAACAUUUGACUGGUAUUAAACAAACCGCCCUCAGCUGGUUUUAGUCGUAUUUAUUGGAUCGAUCCAGUUGGUGUUUGUAAAUGGUCGAUCAGCGAUGACCACCAAUGUUGGUCACAGAGUCCCAGAAGGUUCUGGGCUUGGACCGAUUUAGUUUACCCUCUAUUUGCUUCCUUUGCUACCUUUGACCCGCUGACACAGGUGGGCGUGGCAGUCAGGAACACUUCUAUCAUGUUUACCUGCUUCUUUGCAUUCACUUUAGUUUUAAUCUUGCUUUAAACUUCUCUUCCCUUUAAGACGAGCCUAGAAACUAAAUGUAAAAUAACGUGAUGGGACAAAAAUGUGUAACAGUCUACUGAGCACGUAGCUGUUGUGACCCUUGUCUCCUAGCAAGGAAAUAAAUGGAGAAAGACAUUUGAUUCAGAAAUUAAUUAAUGUUAAUGUGUUAAUAAAAUGUUAAUAAAAUGUUACCCACAGAGAUUUUCCGAUUGUCUGUGCAAAUCUUCCAUCACAAACCAUGGUGAUGAACACAAUGUCAUGUAAUUGCAUGUAUUAUACAUUGUUCUGUACACAUGGCAUCCAUUGUAGUCUGUCCAUCAGGAGACGGAUCCCUCCUCUGACCUUCUCACUAAGGUUUCUACCCUUUUUUUCCCUCUUGGAAGGUUUUUUCAUUGUUUGGGGAGUUGUUCCUGUGCCGAUGGAGGGUUUCUGGACAGAGGAUGUUGUAUGUGUACAGACUGUAAAGCCCUCUGAGGCAAAUUUGUAAUUUGCGAUUUUGGUCUAUACAAAAUAAAAUUAAUUGAAUUAAAUGAAUUAAACGUCAAAGUUAUAAACACAAUAUCUUUGCUCUUUUCACAGGAGAUUGCCGGGUUUUCAAGAGAGUUAUUCGCCAUAUUUUAUAUCUGAUUAUUGACCAGUUUGCCAGUCUUCUUGUCCCUUGUUUGAGCACUCUGAGGUGAGUAAAAGAUUCAUUAGCUGCCGCGUUUAAACCAAAAGACCCCCUCUCGUGCGCUCAUAUUUACCAGCUGAAGGGCCAACCACGAAGGCAGCGUUUGUUGACUGAAGGAUGAACGUGAAUGUGAGUCUGUGAUUGUCUUUGUGUCCUCAGCUGAAGAGUUGCUCUGUAAUUUGUUUGCCUGCUGAAGAGUGUCAGCUGAAGUCUGGCGUCUUUAAAAGCUCAGCCUGACAAGUAAAUGGAUGAAAAUUGCCAGAGAAGAAGCUUGUUUGGGAUUUUGUUUUGAUUUCCCGCAGAAUGACAUUCCUUUUAGGAAAUGGCAGAGUGAUAAAUGAUUGUGGAUUCUGUUGGGUUGGGGCGACCCUGAUUUAGACCUGGGGUAUCUUUCUCUUUGCCGUAAUGUCCCCCAUUUACCCCUCACCGGAUGCACAAAUGGAUGUCGAUAUUCUUUGUGCCAUCAAAAGUCCAAACUUGUGCGCAAAUACCGUCCUGACUUUAUUAAGUACGGCUUCGUAAACGGAGGUAAUGAGGCGGAGCCGAGAGCCCAGUGUGUGGAGUGUGGACUAACGCUCUCCAACAAAGCAUUGAAGCCGUCAAAAUGAAUGUGCCACUUUGAAAGCAAACAUCCAACGCUUGUGGGAGUUCUGGUUCACAGCCAGGGCUGGCUCAGGUUCACAGUCAGGGCUGGCUCAGGUUCACAGUUAGGGCUGGCUCAGGUUCACAGUCAGGGCUGUCUCAGGUUCACAGUCAGGGCUGGCUGAGGUUCACAGUCAGGGCUGGCUGAGGUUCACAGUCAGGGCUGGCUCAAGUUCACAGUCAGGGCUGGCUCAGGUUCACAGUCAGGGCUGGCUGAGGUUCACAGUCAGGGCUGGCUCAAGUUCACAGUCAGGGCUGGCUCAGGUUCACAGUCAGGGCUGUCUCAGGUUCACAGUCAGGGCUGGCUGAGGUUCACAGUCAGGGCUGGCUCAAGUUCACAGUCAGGGCUGGCUGAGGUUCACAGUCAGGGCUGGCUCAGGUUCACAGUCAGGGCUGGCUCAAGUUCACAGUUAGGGCUGGCUCUGGUUCACAGUCAGGGCUGUCUCAGGUUCACAGUCAGGGCUGGCUGAGGUUCACAGUCAGGGCUGGCUCAAGUUCACAGUCAGGGCUGGCUGAGGUUCACAGUCAGGGCUGGCUCAGGUUCACAGUCAGGGCUGGCUCAGGUUCACAGUCAGGGCUGGCUGAGGUUCUCAGUCAGGGCUGGCUCAGGUUCACAGUUAGGGCUUGCUCAGGUUCACAGUCAGGGCUGGCUCAGGUUCACAGUUAGGGCUGGCUCAGGUUCACAGUCAGGGCUGGCUCAGGUUCACAGUCAGGGCUGGCUGAGGUUCACAGUCAGGGCUGGCUCAAGUUCACAGUCAGGGCUGGCUCAAGUUCACAGUCAGGGCUGGCUCAAGUUCACAGUCAGGUCUCGCUGAGGUUCUCAGUCAGGGCUGGCUCAGGUUCACAGUCAGGUCUGGCUGAGGUUCUCAGUCAGGGCUGGCUCAGGUUCACAGUUGGCUCAGAUUUCUGCUGUUGUCUGCUUAGUAGUAGUGAACAGUCAGCUUGUUCUCUGACCACGUUGAUUUUUUUUAACCUUACUCAAACGCCUUCUCGUGAAGUGAAUAUUUUCUUCAUGCACGUCAUGUUCUGUUUACAGUAAAAUGAUCUGAUAGAUUAAAGUCUGAUGGUAAAAAGAUAAAGUAAUAAUCAUCUUAUAAUACAGAGGGAACAUUCUCCUUUAGUCACAGCUUCCCCUGGAGUAUCCGGUGGAUGUUCCUCCAAACAUGUUUAUUCAUAAGAGCCAGAUAUGUAUUUAUAUGCAUUUAUUUAGUGGACUGAAGCCAUAUUGGCAGAGCUCCCCAUUUCAAAGCUGUUUUGAUCACAUUUCUGUGUAAAUACUGAGAUUCAGCCUCUAUACGUGCUCAAGAAGAAAAAAUUACAGAAAUAUAAGUGUGUGUGUGUGUGUGUGGGCGAGCGAGCAACACUUUGUUUUGUCAUGUCGAGGGCUCUGCCUGAGAAGGAAAUUGGAAACAGCAUUCUUCUUUCAUCUCUCUGCCUCCCCACCAACUCAAACACACACACAUUCCCUCAAAAAUCACACAUCUUUUCCUCCAGCUAGUUGAUCCCACCUGAAAGCUCUCUGAUGCAAACACGUGAACCUCUGAACACACUGAUGAAUCCUGAAGCAGGCAGCAGAGGUGUGUGUGUGUGUGUGUGUGUGUGUGUGUGUGUGUGUGUCUCCUCCGUUCAUAAAAGCAGAUCUUGAGGUGAUAGAAAACAAACAAUGAAGACGUCUGAAAUGAAAGCAGGAAAACAAAAGAGGAUUUAAGAGAAUCUGAGUCUGCAGCUUUUAAUUCUUUUCUCUCUGGGUCACACACACACACACUUUCACUUUGAUGUAAUGAAAACUUGUUAGAAGACGUACUGUUUUACGUAACUACAUUAAAGCUGUUUAAACUUUACAGCCUUCGUGGACUUUUUAGAGGCAGUUUGAAUCACGUCGUUAUCGUGAAAACAUGUUUUUGAAGACACUACAACUUGUGUCUGCCUGGUUGGCACUUUCUGCUUUGCCCUCUGACCUUUCACUCCUCAACCAGUGACUCCCUACAUGAGAACUGGGAAAAUCGUUUUCGAUUAUCACUUAUUGUGUUACAUGUGUUCAAUGACACACUCUCUCUCUGAGUGGCGCUGAGAGCGAUGACGUUUUGCAGCUGGUCGGCGUGCUAAACGCCGCCAUGGACCCGGAGGUCCAGAGAAGACCUCCACUGGUCACAACUGAGACGGCAGGAAGGACAACCGAGGACAGUGGGGGUCCAGCAGGGGGUGAAAAAGGGACAGGUCGAGUCCAGGAGAGUGUGGUGAGUGAAUGCAGAGUCCAGCUGGUGGAGAGAGGGACUCUCAUUAUGUAUUGAUUCAUAUGCUCCUCGGUAUGUAUUGAUCUGCUGCCGCCUCACUGACAACAAAUUGGUUGUGAAAGUGAAAGUGAAAGAGGAAAAGGUCAAAUUGCUCUGUUUGUAAAAGGUCAAAGCUCACCUGUGACUGUUACACCUCCAGUUAGAGUAUCAGACUGAAGAAGUGCGCCCGAGAACAAUUGAAGGACCAUAAACUACAACAGAUUUACAGCGCCUUGCAUAAGUCAUUUCAUUGGGAUUUUAUGUAAUGGACCAACACAAAACAGUCCACCAUAUGGAUUUUACUAACAAACCCUGACAAAGAUCUGGGUCAACCAAUUGCCCUCACAGGUUUUCAAGUCACAUAAUUAUUAGAUUUGGUGCAACGUCUCAGGAUAAAUACACUACUGUAUUAGUGUGAUGCAUUACUGUGUAGUGUAGUCGGACAUGUAGUCCGACAGGAAGUCACCAUGUUCAUGUAGUCCGACAGGAAGUCACCAUGUUCAUGUAGUCCGACAGGAAGUCGCCGUGUUCAUGUAGUCCGACAGGAAGUCGCCGUGUUCAUGUAGUCCGACAGGAAGUCGCCGUGUUCAUGUAGUCCGACAGGAAGUCGCCGUGUUCAUGUAGUCCGACAGGAAGUCACCAUGUUCAUGUAGUCCGACAGGAAGUCACCAUGUUCAUGUAGUCCGACAGGAAGUCGCCAUGUUCAUGUAGUCCGACAGGAAGUCGCCGUGUUCAUGUAGUCCGACAGGAAGUCGCCGUGUUCAUG
Molecule: long non-coding RNA, 7533 nt
Organism: Gasterosteus aculeatus aculeatus (three-spined stickleback)
Lineage: Eukaryota; Metazoa; Chordata; Actinopteri; Perciformes; Gasterosteidae
Source: Ensembl